ACCCUCCAGAUUCCUCUCCCUCAGAUCUAAACAUUGGUCUGAUUGGUGUUAAAUGGAGGAAAAAUAAAAUUGAAGUGAACUUGGUGAACUUUAAUGACUUCCAAGUUCAUUUCAAACAUUG
Small nucleolar RNA from Echinops telfairi (small Madagascar hedgehog), 121 nucleotides. Lineage: Eukaryota; Metazoa; Chordata; Mammalia; Afrosoricida; Tenrecidae. The record is from Ensembl.